This 316-nucleotide ribosomal RNA is filed under the name uncultured bacterium. RNAcentral describes it as "bacterial SSU rRNA". It matches the Rfam family "Bacterial small subunit ribosomal RNA", at positions 28 to 334 of the family's 1533-position model. The record is from RNAcentral.
GAUGAACGCUAGCUACAGGCUUAACACAUGCAAGUCGAGGGGCAGCAUGGAAGUUUGCUUGCAAACUUCCGAUGGCGACCGGCGCACGGGUGAGUAACACGUAUCCAACCUGCCGAUAACUCGGGGAUAGCCUUUCGAAAGAAAGAUUAAUACCCGAUGGCAUAGUUCUUCCGCAUGGUAGAACUAUUAAAGAAUUUCGGUCAUCGAUGGGGAUGCGUUCCAUUAGCUUGUUGGCGGGGUAACGGCCCACCAAGGCAUCGAUGGAUAGGGGUUCUGAGAGGAAGGUCCCCCACAUUGGAACUGAGACACGGUCCAA